AGGAAACCUGACCCCAGAUUCCAGUACCCACGCUUUAGACGGUCCAUUUGUGUUUGUAGUCUGAGACUGUAGCAGAAUGUUUCAGCAUAAUCAAGACCAACUGAGAAAGGUUAGCCACGGUCAAAGGAAAUUGAUGAAGAGUGGCUAUUAAGGGAUGGAGCAUAUGUACGCAGACUAUGGUUAAAUAACGGUCAUCUUCAGUGAAAUGUCUGAAGCAGUUACUCAGACCACAGUAGUCAGACAUACAAAAGCAAGAAAACGAGAAUGAUCUUUUCUGGAAGUCUCUACUGGCUGGCAUUCUGCACUCCAUUGUUUUGGUUUGGUCAAGAUUAUACUCUGGCAAGACAUAGGUUUAUGAGGCUGGGGAGAAAGUCAGAGGAUAA
Acomys russatus (golden spiny mouse) is the source of this 383-nucleotide long non-coding RNA. RefSeq lists it as uncharacterized. The transcript has 3 exons. The record is from RefSeq and is a predicted model, not a curated record. Lineage: Eukaryota; Metazoa; Chordata; Mammalia; Rodentia; Muridae.